AUGCUCACACCGGAGGCCACGAGAGAGUUCACAAGCCUUUGGACUGAAAUCAGCCCGACCUUGCUGAGUACGGAGCCAGACUCGGUCUCGUGGAGAUGGACGGCUGAUGGGGUUUACAGUGUGAGAUCGGCGUAUAUCAUUCAGUUCGAGGGUAGCUGCCAGGCUAGCUUCGACAAAUUCAUUUGGAAUUCGGAUGCCCCUGGGAAGAGCAAAGUAUUCGGGUGGCUCGCUCUCCUUGGACGCUGCAACACGGCCGACGUGCUCGCCAAAAAGGGUUGGCCGCAUGACUCUGCCUGCACUCUUUGUGCUGGCCCGAUGGAAGACGCCGCCCACCUUCUCGCUUCCUGCCCGUUCUCCGUCCAGAUCUGGCAGGGUUUUUUGCGAAGAUGCAACCUGUCGCUCGGCCUUGCCCCCUCUGCCACCACCACCUCUCUGAUGAUUUGGUCAGACCACUCCUAUGGCAUGUUCCCAGCAAAGGAGAGGAAAGCUUGGAGCUCCCUGGUUCAGCUCGUAUGGUGGAACUUAUGGAUCGAACGGAACGCAAGGAUUUUCAGGAACCAACGCUCUCCUGUCGUGGCUCUGAUCGCCAAGAUCGUAGAGGAGGCAGCCGUUUGGAGUAGGGCAGGCAGAUGGAGGGCCAACUCACUGCUAGAUAGACCUAGGGAACCAGACUAG
RNAcentral lists this ribosomal RNA (675 nucleotides) under Triticum aestivum (bread wheat). RNAcentral describes it as "partial small subunit ribosomal RNA". Lineage: Eukaryota; Viridiplantae; Streptophyta; Magnoliopsida; Poales; Poaceae. The record is from RNAcentral.